Non-coding RNA from Potamilus streckersoni, 77 nucleotides. The record is from the annotation of a GenBank genome assembly. NCBI's taxonomy places the organism in Eukaryota, Metazoa, Mollusca, Bivalvia, Unionida, Unionidae.
GACCGCUCCGCUGGCCUAGUGGUUAGAGCGUCCGCCUCAGGUGCGGUUGGUCCUGAGUUCGAACCACGGCCAAGUCA